RNAcentral lists this unclassified non-coding RNA (274 nucleotides) under Hevea brasiliensis (rubber tree). The record is from RNAcentral. Lineage: Eukaryota; Viridiplantae; Streptophyta; Magnoliopsida; Malpighiales; Euphorbiaceae.
CCUCUCGCUCUCUCAAGAUUAAUUUCCCCUUCCUCACUGGCAAGAAAAACAAUCAAGGAAGAAAGGAGUGAUUGAAGCUGCUGUAAAGGAAGAAGAGCUGCGUAAAGAUGUUGUUGGGGAAGAGACCGAGGGGUCCAAUGAAGAGAACAACAAGCAUGUCAGAGAUCACCUUUGAUCUAGACUGUGAAUCAGCUCCACCGUCGUCUGAUCCGCACAUCGCCCAUAAACAGAUGGCGGGAUUUGUUGGCCAGCUAGAUCAGCGGUUCUUGGCCGC